RNAcentral lists this unclassified non-coding RNA (288 nucleotides) under Hevea brasiliensis (rubber tree). Lineage: Eukaryota; Viridiplantae; Streptophyta; Magnoliopsida; Malpighiales; Euphorbiaceae. The record is from RNAcentral.
AAGAUAUGGAGCUUUCCUGUAUGUUUGCCAGUGCUGCUGGUUCAUCUACUAUAUUUGGAAGGACAUCUGAAAAAUCUAUUAAUAGUAUGUAUUGAUUUUUGGUUAUUUAACCCAUAUUGGCCUUUUGUGUAUAUUGUGUAUUAUUGUGAUUGAGUUAGUAGGAUACCAUAUAUACAUUGUUUCAGUUGGAUACCAUAUAUACAUUGUUUCUAUGGCUAUAUAUAUGGGCAUUUAUGCCUUCUGUAAAACGAAAAAGAGAAUGAAUUAAAUGUAGCCAUUGAGGUUUUG